GCUGGGCAUGGUGAUGCAUGUCUGUAGUCCCAGGUACUCAGGAGGCUGAGAUGGGAGGAUUCCUUGAGCCCAGGAGGUCAAGGCUGCAUGCCGUGAGCUGUGAUUGUACCUCUGCACUCUAGCCUGGGCAACAGAGAAAGAUUGCAUCUCUA
This 152-nucleotide non-coding RNA is filed under the name Homo sapiens (human). Lineage: Eukaryota; Metazoa; Chordata; Mammalia; Primates; Hominidae. The record is from Rfam by way of RNAcentral.